Molecule: ribosomal RNA, 1602 nt
Filed under: Klebsiella pneumoniae
Lineage: Bacteria; Pseudomonadati; Pseudomonadota; Gammaproteobacteria; Enterobacterales; Enterobacteriaceae
Description: partial 23S ribosomal RNA
Rfam family: Bacterial large subunit ribosomal RNA
Source: RNAcentral
GGGUUGUGAGGUUAAGCGACUAAGCGUACACGGUGGAUGCCCUGGCAGUCAGAGGCGAUGAAGGACGUGCUAAUCUGCGAAAAGCGUCGGUAAGGUGAUAUGAACCGUUAUAACCGGCGAUGUCCGAAUGGGGAAACCCAGUGCAAUUCGUUGCACUAUCGUUAACUGAAUACAUAGGUUAACGAGGCGAACCGGGGGAACUGAAACAUCUAAGUACCCCGAGGAAAAGAAAUCAACCGAGAUUCCCCCAGUAGCGGCGAGCGAACGGGGAGCAGCCCAGAGUCUGAAUCAGCUUGUGUGUUAGUGGAACGGUCUGGAAAGUCCGACGGUACAGGGUGAUAGUCCCGUACACCAAAAUGCACAGGCUGUGAACUCGAAGAGUAGGGCGGGACACGUGGUAUCCUGUCUGAAUAUGGGGGGACCAUCCUCCAAGGCUAAAUACUCCUGACUGACCGAUAGUGAACCAGUACCGUGAGGGAAAGGCGAAAAGAACCCCGGCGAGGGGAGUGAAAAAGAACCUGAAACCGUGUACGUACAAGCAGUGGGAGCACCUUCGGGUGUGACUGCGUACCUUUUGUAUAAUGGGUCAGCGACUUAUAUUCUGUAGCAAGGUUAACCGUAUAGGGGAGCCGCAGGGAAACCGAGUCUUAACUGGGCGUUAAGUUGCAGGGUAUAGACCCGAAACCCGGUGAUCUAGCCAUGGGCAGGUUGAAGGUUGGGUAACACUAACUGGAGGACCGAACCGACUAAUGUUGAAAAAUUAGCGGAUGACUUGUGGCUGGGGGUGAAAGGCCAAUCAAACCGGGAGAUAGCUGGUUCUCCCCGAAAGCUAUUUAGGUAGCGCCUCGUGAAUUCAUCUUCGGGGGUAGAGCACUGUUUCGGCUAGGGGGUCAUCCCGACUUACCAACCCGAUGCAAACUACGAAUACCGAAGAAUGUUAUCACGGGAGACACACGGCGGGUGCUAACGUCCGUCGUGAAGAGGGAAACAACCCAGACCGCCAGCUAAGGUCCCAAAGUCAUGGUUAAGUGGGAAACGAUGUGGGAAGGCACAGACAGCCAGGAUGUUGGCUUAGAAGCAGCCAUCAUUUAAAGAAAGCGUAAUAGCUCACUGGUCGAGUCGGCCUGCGCGGAAGAUGUAACGGGGCUAAACCAUGCACCGAAGCUGCGGCAGCGACACUAUGUGUUGUUGGGUAGGGGAGCGUUCUGUAAGCCUGCGAAGGUGACCUGUGAGGGUUGCUGGAGGUAUCAGAAGUGCGAAUGCUGACAUAAGUAACGAUAAAGCGGGUGAAAAGCCCGCUCGCCGGAAGACCAAGGGUUCCUGUCCAACGUUAAUCGGGGCAGGGUGAGUCGACCCCUAAGGCGAGGCCGAAAGGCGUAGUCGAUGGGAAACAGGUUAAUAUUCCUGUACUUGGUGUUACUGCGAAGGGGGGACGGAGAAGGCUAUGUUAGCCGGGCGACGGUUGUCCCGGUUUAAGCAUGUAGGCUGGUUGUCCAGGCAAAUCCGGAUAAUCAAGGCUGAGGUGUGAUGACGAGGCACUACGGUGCUGAAGUAACAAAUGCCCUGCUUCCAGGAAAAGCCUCUAAGCAUCAGGUAACAUUA